This 465-nucleotide ribosomal RNA is filed under the name uncultured bacterium. RNAcentral describes it as "partial 16S ribosomal RNA". It matches the Rfam family "Bacterial small subunit ribosomal RNA", at positions 28 to 507 of the family's 1533-position model. The record is from RNAcentral.
GACGAACGCUGGCGGCGUGCUUAACACAUGCAAGUCGUACGGUAAGGCCCUUUCGGGGGUCCACGAGUGGCGAACGGGUGAGUAACACGUGAGUAACCUGCCCACAACUUUGGGAUAACGCUAGGAAACUGGUGCUAAUACUGGUUAUGUGCUCCUGCUGCAUGGUGGGGGUUGGAAGGCUCCGGCGGUUGUGGAUGGACUCGCGGCCUAUCAGCUUGUUGGUGGGGUAGUGGCCUACCAAGGCGGCGACGGGUAGCCGGCCUGAGAGGGUGACCGGCCACAUUGGGACUGAGAUACGGCCCAGACUCCUACGGGAGGCAGCAGUGGGGAAUAUUGCACAAUGGGCGCAAGCCUGAUGCAGCAACGCCGCGUGCGGGAGGACGGCCUUCGGGUUGUAAACCGCUUUCAGCAGGGACGAAGCUUUUUGUGACGGUACCUGCAGAAGAAGCACCGGCUAACUACGUG